UGGUUUUCUGAGGUGAUGAUAUUUAUAGUUCGGCAUCAUCAAAAAGCAAUUCCUUGCUUAUUUAGGAUUCGAAGCCUUGUCAGGUCUCCCUUGUGACUCAUUCUGUAUUCAUCCGGGGCUCUGUGCUCGCCUGCCUGUGCAAUGCUCUCAUGAAUCCUUAAUUCCAUUUGAACUCAGCAAUGCCACAGUCACUUUCCAUCAACCCGCCCACUCAGCUGAAUUGUACCAGCCUCUUCUUUGCAGAGCACCACAUUCGCGCUCUAAGAUUGAUUGGGUGUUGGGCCACUGCCACAAAGACAAAGGAGGUCAAACUCAACACCUGCAGUUUGCUUCUGACUUCUAAAGCAGAUGCUGAUGAAAUUUUCCGGGAUUUACCUGCAUAACCCAUGUCUAGUUGCAGUGGCUUCAUGGACACUUUAUCACAGAUGAUGCAGUGAAAUAUUAAUAACGUGUUACUCUCCUCUUUUAUCAGCACGGCAAAACAGUUGAAGCUGAAAUGACACAGUGAGGAUAGACCAGACUGAUGUGAAGCUAACCUCGUAUCAAGCCAUCUUCCUCACUCCCCAGCUUUGCUCUUCUCUAAGCAUGACUGGCGUGCUGGCCAAAUGUUCAACACAGAGUGCUGCUUGAGGCUCUAGAAGCUGCAACUAAGGAAGAUAGGGUAGCUGCUCACUGGGGCCAGAAAUAUGGGAUGAGUCAGAGAGCAAGUUGGAAUCCAGUGCCAAUUCAUGACCAAGCCGGAGGACCAGCCUAUUCUAGGACACACAUAUGAAGAUUGAUGUUGAGAAAUGUAGAACUUUCCAGGAAAAUCAAGAAUGGUGUGGAGACAGGAAUCCAUGGUCUGUGAUAACGACAUGAUGAAUCAGGAAAAUGGCAGCAGCUUUUAUAUCUUCCUUUGCUUGAAACAGGUAUAAAGCCCCAGAAAUUAAUUGUAGGAGCUCAUCCUGAUUCACCCAAGAUCACCCAGAAGCUGCAAGAAAAUGUUCUGUCAAAAUCUCAAAGGCUGGAGAUUGAAAUGGAGAAGAACCAGGGAAGGAUUAUUGGAAUUUAAAAGAGAAAUCUUGAAGAUGAAAUAAUUUGUGGGAAUGUUCUUGGACACUAUAUACUGUUGACCGGUGACAAGUCCUUGCUUCCCCAAUGUUGAAGUAUAACACCAGAGAAGCACA
Long non-coding RNA from Ictidomys tridecemlineatus (thirteen-lined ground squirrel), 1166 nucleotides. RefSeq lists it as uncharacterized. The record is from RefSeq and is a predicted model, not a curated record. Lineage: Eukaryota; Metazoa; Chordata; Mammalia; Rodentia; Sciuridae.